Molecule: ribosomal RNA, 489 nt
Filed under: uncultured bacterium
Lineage: Bacteria
Description: partial 16S ribosomal RNA
Rfam family: Bacterial small subunit ribosomal RNA
Source: RNAcentral
UUGAACGCUGGCGGCCGGCCUAACACAUGCAAGUCGAACGGUAACAGGAAGAAGCUUGCUUCUUUGCUGACGAGUGGCGGACGGGUGAGUAAUGUCUGGGAAACUGCCUGAUGGAGGGGGAUAACUACUGGAAACGGUAGCUAAUACCGCAUAACGUCGCAAGACCAAAGAGGGGGACCUUCGGGCCUCUUGCCAUCGGAUGUGCCCAGAUGGGAUUAGCUAGUAGGUGGGGUAACGGCUCACCUAGGCGACGAUCCCUAGCUGGUCUGAGAGGAUGACCAGCCACACUGGAACUGAGACACGGUCCAGACUCCUACGGGAGGCAGCAGUGGGGAAUAUUGCACAAUGGGCGCAAGCCUGAUGCAGCCAUGCCGCGUGUAUGAAGAAGGCCUUCGGGUUGUAAAGUACUUUCAGCGGGGAGGGAGGGAGUAAAGUUAAUACCUUUGCUCAUUGACGUUACCCGCAGAAGAAGCACCGGCUAACUCCGUG